This 490-nucleotide ribosomal RNA is filed under the name uncultured bacterium. RNAcentral's name for it is "partial 16S ribosomal RNA". It matches the Rfam family "Bacterial small subunit ribosomal RNA", at positions 28 to 507 of the family's 1533-position model. The record is from RNAcentral.
GAUGAACGCUAGCGAUAGGCUUAACACAUGCAAGUCGAGGGGCAGCAUGGUCUUAGCUUGCUAAGACUGAUGGCGACCGGCGCACGGGUGCGUAACGCGUAUGCAACUUGCCUCACAGAGGGGGAUAACCCGUCGAAAGACGGACUAAUACCGCGUACACUUGGGAUAGGGCAUCCUGACCCAAGGAAAUGAAAUUCGCUGUGAGAUAGGCAUGCGUCCCAUUAGCUAGUUGGUGAGGUAACGGCUCACCAAGGCGACAAUGGGUAGGGGAACUGAGAGGUUGAACCCCCACACUGGUACUGAGACACGGACCAGACUCCUACGGGAGGCAGCAGUGAGGAAUAUUGGUCAAUGGGCGAGAGCCUGAACCAGCCAAGUCGCGUGAAGGAUGACUGUCUUAUGGAUUGUAAACUUCUUUUAUACGGGAAUAACAAGAGCCACGUGUGGCUCCCUGCAUGUACCGUAUGAAUAAGCAUCGGCUAACUCCGUG